Molecule: ribosomal RNA, 253 nt
Filed under: uncultured bacterium
Lineage: Bacteria
Description: partial 16S ribosomal RNA
Rfam family: Bacterial small subunit ribosomal RNA
Source: RNAcentral
UACGUAGGGUGCGAGCGUUGUCCGGAUUUAUUGGGCGUAAAGAGCUCGUAGGCGGUUUGUCGCGUCGGCCGUGAAAUCUCCACGCUUAACGUGGAGCGUGCGGUCGAUACGGGCAGACUUGAGUUCGGUAGGGGAGACUGGAAUUCCUGGUGUAGCGGUGAAAUGCGCAGAUAUCGGGAAGAACACCUAUGGCGAAGGCAGCUCUCUGGGACGGUACUGACGCUGAGACGCGAAAGCGUGGGGAGCGAACAGG